RNAcentral lists this ribosomal RNA (277 nucleotides) under uncultured bacterium. Its description in RNAcentral is "partial small subunit ribosomal RNA". It matches the Rfam family "Bacterial small subunit ribosomal RNA", at positions 26 to 285 of the family's 1533-position model. The record is from RNAcentral.
AGAAUCAACGCUGGCGGCGUGCCUAACACAUGCAAGUCGAACGCGAAAGUCCCGCAAGGGAUAAGUAGAGUGGCAAACGGGUGAGUAACACGUGGGUGACCUGCCUUCGAGUGGGGGGAUAACGUCCCGAAAGGGACGCUAAUACCGCAUGACAUCCUGCUUUUUUAAGAGGUGGAGAUACAAAGCGUGGGGAUCGCAAGACCUAGCGCUUGAAGAGGGGCCCGCGCCUGAUUAGCUAGGUUGGUGGGGUAAUGGCUCACCAAGGCAACGAUCAGUA